ACAAUACCAACAGGUCUAACAUGAAGUGUGUAGCAAUCCUAUUGGUAUUGGUCAUCUGCUUGGCUGAAGGUGGUAGGACCAGUAACCGAUGUCAUCCAAGUAAGUGUAUUUAACAACAUUUAGUUACCAUUCGACAAUAAUUUACAAUUGAGAUUUCUAUUUUAUCAUACAGGACAAAUUUCUCAAAUUUGAUUAUGAUUUCAGUUUCUUUAUCAUUCAUAUUCCUAUAUUCCAAAAAUAUUACAAUAAAGUAAACCGAUUUAAAAUAAGCAGCUGUUUCAUUUCAAUUAAUUUUUUUUAAAUUUCAUUUAUACAUUUGAACAUGAGUUUGUUUCUUUUGUAUUUUUUUUUAUAAUAUAAUGUCCAUUCUCCGUUAUCUAUUUUAUUCACCAUUCUGUAUGUAAUUCAUUAUCAGUGUUUCCUACGAAAUAAACUCCCAUCUUUAAAAAAAAUACUCAUCUUUUUAGAGUGUGGUUUAGAGAAAGACAAAGGAACGUGUUGUAGACGAAGAUAUUGUUAUCCAAAAACUCAAUAUUACUAUGACCAUGGAAAAGGGAGAUGUCGCCGGUUUAAAUUCAAGGGGUGUAAUGGUAACAAAAACCAAUUUGCCA
Molecule: long non-coding RNA, 611 nt
Filed under: Mytilus galloprovincialis (Mediterranean mussel)
Lineage: Eukaryota; Metazoa; Mollusca; Bivalvia; Mytilida; Mytilidae
Source: RNAcentral